This 451-nucleotide ribosomal RNA is filed under the name uncultured bacterium. RNAcentral's name for it is "partial 16S ribosomal RNA". It matches the Rfam family "Bacterial small subunit ribosomal RNA", at positions 29 to 523 of the family's 1533-position model. The record is from RNAcentral.
AACGAACGCUGGCGGCAUGCCUAACACAUGCAAGUCGAACGCCUGUAGCAAUACAGGAGUGGCAGACGGGUGCAUAACACGUGGGAACCUACCCUUGGGUUCGGAAUAACCGCGGAAAACUGCGGCUAUUACCGGAUACGUCCUCUGGGAGAAAGAUUCAUCGCCCUUGGAGGGGCCCGCGUCGGAUUAGCUAGUUGGUGAGGUAACGGCUCACCAAGGCGACGAUCCGUAGCUGAUCUGAGAGGGUGAUCAGCCACACUGGAACUGAGACACGGUCCAGACUCCUACGGGAGGCAGCAGUGGGGAAUAUUGGACAAUGGGGGCAACCCUGAUCCAGCAAUGCCGCGUGGGUGAUGGAGGCCUUCGGGUUGUAAAGCCCUUUUGGCAGGGACGAUGAUGACGGUACCUGCAGAAUAAGCCCCGGCUAACUUCGUGCCAGCCGCCGCCGUAA